Molecule: ribosomal RNA, 468 nt
Filed under: uncultured bacterium
Lineage: Bacteria
Description: partial 16S ribosomal RNA
Rfam family: Bacterial small subunit ribosomal RNA
Source: RNAcentral
GACGAACGCUGGCGGCGUGCUUAACACAUUCAAUUCGAACGUAAAGGCCCUGCUUUUUUGUUGUGCUCGAGUUGCUAACGGUUGCGUAACACGUGAGUACCCUUCCCUUUACUUUUUGAUCACUUCAUGCAACUGGGGCUAAUACCGGCUAUUAGCUCCUGCUUCCUGGUUUUGGUUGGAAAGUUUCGGCGGUUGGGGAUGGACUCGCGGCUUAUCAGCUUGUUGGUGGGGUAGUGGCUUACCAAGGCUUUGACGGGUAGCCGGCCUGAGAGGUUGACGGGAAAGAUGGGGAAUGAGAUACGGCCAAGAGUACUACGGGAGGCAGCAGUGGGGAAUAUUGCACAAUGGGCGGAAGCCUGAUGCAGCAACGCCGCGUGAGGGAUGACGGACUUAGGGUUGUAAACCGCUUUCGCCUGGGACGAAGCGUGAGUGACGGUAAUGGGUAAAGAAGCACCGGCUAACUACGUG